GUGCUCCCUCUGGCAACACAUCUACUAAAAUUGGAAUGAAACAGAGGAGACUGAUUUCUGCACAAGGAUGAUAUGCAAGAUUGUGAAACAUCCAGUAUUUAA
Molecule: small nuclear RNA, 102 nt
Organism: Erinaceus europaeus (western European hedgehog)
Lineage: Eukaryota; Metazoa; Chordata; Mammalia; Eulipotyphla; Erinaceidae
Source: Ensembl